AUGCAUACGGUGGAUGCCUUGGUCGAAAGUACCGAUGAAGGACGUAACAAGCUGCGAUAAGCUUUGGGGAGCUGCUAAUAAGCUUUGAUCCAGAGAUUUCCGAAUAAAGUAAUUACCCCGCCUCGGCGGGGGAUCCCUACAUGAAUACAUAGUGUCGGGAGGGGUACGCGCCGAACUGAAACAUCUAAGUAAGCGCAGGAAAAUAAAUCAACAGAGAUUCCCCCAGUAGCGGCGAGCGAAAAGGGAGGAGCCCAAACCCUGAGAGUAAUCAAAGGGGGUUGUAGGAAUCCAAUAUCUGAUCCUUUAAUGGUAGCUAAAUACACUGGAAAGUGUAACCAAAGAGAGUGAGAGUCUCGUAAGCGAAACCAAAAAAGGCGGUAGGAUCACCUGAGUAGCACAGGACACGUGUAAUCCUGUGUGAAUCCAGCAAGACCACUUGCUAAGGCUAAAUAUACUUUCGGACCGAUAGUGAACUAGUACCGCGAGGGAAAGGUGAAAAGAAGAGCGAAACGCUCAGUGAAAUAGUACCUGAAACCGUAUGUUGACAAGCAGUGGAAGUGUGCGUUGCGCAUAGGAUAUAAGGAGAAGGAUAGAAGUGAUCAGUCAAAAUUGACUAAUCAUUACUUCCUAUGAUCCUUCUAUCUUGCGCGCAGCGCAUACGACCGCGUGCCUAUUGAAGAAUGAACCGGUGAGUUACCGCAUCCCUUUUGCUUAAGCCAUUUUGUGGCGGAAGCGUAGUGAAAGCGAGGGUUAAUAGCCCGAUUUAAAGGAUGCGAUAGACCCGAAACCGAGUGAGCUAUCCAUGUCCAGGGUGAACUCCGACGAAAGUCGGAGGGAGGCCCGAACCCGUUGUUGUAUCAAUAACUUGGGAUGAGAUGUGGUUAGAGGUGAUAUGCCUAACGAACUCGGAGAUAGCUGGUUCUCCUCGAAAUAUAUCUAGGUAUAGCCUGAAAGGUAAGCACAGGGGUAGAGCACUGGAUCGAUUUUUCAGCGUAAGCUGGAAGAUUGAAUCAAACUCCGAAUACUGUGCCAAUUACUUUCAGAGUCAGUCCGAUCCGGCUAAGCGGAGCGGGCCUGAGGGAAACAUCCCAGACCAACAGCUAAGGUCCCUAAAUGCAAGUUAAGUGUUAAAGGAAGUCAUAUUCCUUAGACAGCCAGGAAGUUGGCUUAGAAGCAGCCAUCUUUUAAAGAUAGCGUAACAGCUCGCUGGUCUAGUCACGGAGUGUGGCACCGACAAUGAAUCGGGGCUAAACUUGCUACCGAAGCUUUGGGUCUUGUCGAGGCGGUAGAGGAGCGUUCUAUACGGAGUGAAUAGUUGUCGUAAGGCGACUUGGACUGUAUAGAAGUGAGAAUGCCGGUAUGAGUAGCGAAUUUACGUGAGAAACGUAAUCGCCGAAUGCCCAAGGUUUCCCACGCAAUGUUAAUCAGCGUGGGGUUAAUCGGUCCUAAGGUCAGUCCUCCUUUUGGAGGAGUAGCCGAUGGAUUACAGGUUAAAAUUCCUGUAUUGAGGUUGUUCUGACAAGUCCUCUUGUGCUUCGCACAGAGGAUAUUAGGAAGAAGGAUAGUAGUAACUAGUCUUUUUGAUUAAUCACUGCUUCCUGUUAUCCUACUAUCUUUUGUGCGGAGUGCAAGUAAGGAGCUUUCAAGGGUGAACGAAGUGGAAUAGUCAAGUCAGGCAAUGCCUGAUUUAAAUAGCAAGCAAGUAGAAAUCGGCAAAUCCGUUUUUAUGUUUAUGUGAGCUAUGAUGACGUAAGUUGACGAUUUUCUGUUUCCAGGAAAAGACUCGUGUAAGAGAACAAUUUUAACCGUACCGUAAACCGACACAGGUGGGCGAGUUGAGUAUACAAAGGCGAUCGGGAGAACUAUCCUUAAGGAACUCGGCAACGAAAGCUGGACGUAACCUUUGGGAGAUGUCCUGGUCCGACGUAACGUCGGACUUACAACAAAAGACGCUAAGCGACUGUUUAACAAAAACACAGGUCCCUGCUAAAUCGAAAGAUGAUGUAUAGGGGCUGACACCUGCCCAGUGCCAGUAAUUUACUGUCUCAAGUGACUUCCGACGUAAGUCGGAAUGAGCCUGGGGCCUAAGAUCUGGUGAACGGCAGCAGUAACUAUAACUGUUCUAUGGUAGCGAAGUUCCUCGUGUCUGGCGAGUUCAGACCCGCACGAAAGGUUGAACGACUUAGCGACUGUCUUGAGGAUAGACCCGGCGAAAUUGCAAUGGCUGUGAAGAUGCGGCCUUCCCAUACUAAAUUUAAAAUUGUGUAGCGUAGGAGGGACUCCGACGUAACGUCGGAGGACAAUGAAACACCUCUCUUUUUUGAAUUUAGGUCUUACCUACUCCCUUAUAAAAACAGGGAAUGAGACAAGGUCUGGCGGGCAGUUUAACUGGGGCGGUUCCCUCCAAAAGAGUAACGGAGGGGUACUAAGGUACACUUAGCGCGUAAGGAAAUCGCGCAUCAAGCGUAAAGGUAUAAAGUGUGCUUAAUAGCGAGACUCACAAGUCGAGCUAAUACGAAAGUAGGUCUUAAUGAUCCCCUGAUUGUUCGUGGGAACGUCAGGGCUUAUCGGAUAAAAGUUACCCCGGGGAUAACAGGCUAGUCUUGCCCUACAGUCCACAAGGACGGCAAGGUUCGGCACCUCACAGCGAUGUCGGCUCAUCGCAGCGCGGGGCUGAAGCAGGUCCCAAGCGUCUGGCUGUUCGCCAGUUAAAGCGGUACGCGAGCUGGGUUCAGAGCGUCGUAAGACAGCUCGGACUCUAUCCAGUAUGGGCGUUUUGAUUCUUGAGGGGAGUUGUCUCUAGUAAGAACGAGAGGACCGAGAUGAGGCAACCUCUAGUGUGCCUGUUGUACCAAAAGUGCAGCGCAGGGUAGCUACGUUGUUUUCUGAUAAGCGCUGAAAGCAUCUAAGCACGAAGCAGACCCCAAGAUGAGGAAUCUUGAAAAGCAAUCCCGCAAGGGAUUGUAAGACCCCUGGGAGACUACCAGGUUGAUAGGUUGGCGGUGUAAGUGCUGUAAGGUAUUUAGCCUACCAAUACUAAUGGUC
This 3045-nucleotide ribosomal RNA is filed under the name Candidatus Daviesbacteria bacterium GW2011_GWC2_40_12. RNAcentral describes it as "bacterial LSU rRNA". It matches the Rfam family "Bacterial large subunit ribosomal RNA". Lineage: Bacteria; Candidatus Daviesiibacteriota. The record is from RNAcentral.